UGUAAGGAAAAUUAAUAGUCUUGUUUGAGAU
Molecule: non-coding RNA, 31 nt
Filed under: Mus musculus (house mouse)
Lineage: Eukaryota; Metazoa; Chordata; Mammalia; Rodentia; Muridae
Source: RNAcentral